UAAUGGUUCACAAUUUAGGCCAAAUAAUACUGACGAACGUAAGUUUGUGCAUUUCUGGUUAACAUGCUAGCGAAUCCUUGAUUAAUUAUUUAUGUUUUCUGGAAUGAAAUUAUCAAACUUUUUCUCUCAAAAAAAGACGAAAAUUGAGCUAUCACAAUACAUCGAAAUUGUACAUUUACUAUGGCAGGCAAAACACUAUAAUCGCUAAUUUGUAUUGCUAUCCUAUAUGCAUUUUGUAUAGGCCAGAAAGUAGCAUACUUUAUAAUACUUAUGCAUGCACAAAUCUCUAAAACACAUCAUUAGGUAUGUAAAUAAGUAUUAUAAAUGAGCCAGGUACUUUUUAUAGCCAUGUACCUUUUUUUCCACCAAAAUUGACUAAUUUCAAGUUAUAUGGUAAGAUUUGAAUUUCGGGAAAAAAUCCCGGGAUUUGUCACGGCUAAAACCGGGAUUCCCGAUUCCCGGGAUUUAAAAAAUCGUCCGGGAUUGGAAUCCCUAC
Molecule: long non-coding RNA, 496 nt
Organism: Folsomia candida
Lineage: Eukaryota; Metazoa; Arthropoda; Collembola; Entomobryomorpha; Isotomidae
Exons: 2
Source: RefSeq, a predicted model, not a curated record